AGCGAACGUUUGCGGCGGGCCUAACACAUGCAAGUCGAACGCACUAGCAAUAGUGAGUGGCGCACGGGUGCGUAACACGUGGGUAAUCAACCCUUCAGCUUGGGAUAACGACUUGAAAGGGUCGCUAAUACCGGAUACGGCGCGGGAGGCUUCGGCUUCUCACGAGAAAGCCUCGCAAGGGGCACUGAAGGACGAGCCUGCGGCCCAUCAGCUAGUUGGUGAGGUAAGAGCUCACCAAGGCGAAGACGGGUAGCUGGUCUGAGAGGAUGAUCAGCCACACUGGAACUGAGACACGGUCCAGACUCCUACGGGAGGCAGCAGUGGGGAAUAUUGCGCAAUGGGCGAAAGCCUGACGCAGCCACGCCGCGUGAGCGAUGAAGGCCUCGGUCGUAAGACUCUGUGGGAGGAGACGAAGAAAGACC
Molecule: ribosomal RNA, 422 nt
Filed under: uncultured bacterium
Lineage: Bacteria
Description: bacterial SSU rRNA
Rfam family: Bacterial small subunit ribosomal RNA
Source: RNAcentral